GGGGUAUAGCUCAAUGGCACAGCACUUGCCUAACAUGCAUGAUGCUCUGGGUUCAAUUCCCAGUACCACCA
RNAcentral lists this transfer RNA (71 nucleotides) under Heterocephalus glaber (naked mole-rat). It matches the Rfam family "tRNA". Rfam says of the family: Transfer RNA (tRNA) molecules are approximately 80 nucleotides in length. Their secondary structure includes four short double-helical elements and three loops (D, anti-codon, and T loops). Lineage: Eukaryota; Metazoa; Chordata; Mammalia; Rodentia; Bathyergidae. The record is from Rfam by way of RNAcentral.